AGUGAACGCUGGCGGUAGGCCUAACACAUGCAAGUCGAACGGCAGCACAGUAAGAGCUUGCUCUUACGGGUGGCGAGUGGCGGACGGGUGAGGAAUACAUCGGAAUCUACUUUUUCGUGGGGGAUAACGUAGGGAAACUUACGCUAAUACCGCAUACGACCUACGGGUGAAAGCAGGGGAUCUUCGGACCUUGCGCGAUUGAAUAAGCCGAUGUCGGAUUAGCUAGUUGGCGGGGUAAAGGCCCACCAAGGCGACGAUCCGUAGCUGGUCUGAGAGGAUGAUCAGCCACACUGGAACUGAGACACGGUCCAGACUCCUACGGGAGGCAGCAGUGGGGAAUAUUGGACAAUGGGCGCAAGCCUGAUCCAGCCAUACCGCGUGGGUGAAGAAGGCCCUCGGGUUGUAAAGCCCUUUUGUUGGGAAAGAAAAGCAGCAGGUUAAUACCCCGCUGUUCUGACGGUACCCAAAGAAUAAGCACCGGCUAACUUCGUG
RNAcentral lists this ribosomal RNA (492 nucleotides) under uncultured bacterium. RNAcentral's name for it is "partial 16S ribosomal RNA". It matches the Rfam family "Bacterial small subunit ribosomal RNA", at positions 29 to 507 of the family's 1533-position model. The record is from RNAcentral.